UGGGGAAUUGUUCGCAAUGGGCGCAAGCCUGACGACGCAACGCCGCGUGGAGGAUGAAGAUCUUCGGGUCGUAAACUCCUUUCGAUCGGGAAGAACGUUUUCGGGGUGAAUAAUCCCGAGAAGUGACGGUACCGAGAGAAGAAGCCCCGGCUAACUCUGUGCCAGCAGCCGCGGUAAUACAGGGGGGGCAAGCGUUGUUCGGAAUUACUGGGCGUAAAGGGCUUGUAGGCGGCCAACUAAGUCCGACGUGAAAUCCCCAGGCUUAACCUGGGAACUGCGUCGGAUACUGAUUGGCUUGAAUCCGGGAGAGGGAUGCGGAAUUCCAGGUGUAGCGGUGAAAUGCGUAGAUAUCUGGAGGAACACCGGUGGCGAAGGCGGCAUCCUGGACCGGUAUUGACGCUGAAGAGCGAAAGCCAGGGGAGCAAACGGGAUUAGAUACCCCCGUAGUCC
Molecule: ribosomal RNA, 450 nt
Filed under: uncultured bacterium
Lineage: Bacteria
Description: bacterial SSU rRNA
Rfam family: Bacterial small subunit ribosomal RNA
Source: RNAcentral